AGCAUGUGCGGAUGUAUUUUUUGAACCAGAGGACAAGACUUAAAGACAGGUGUGAAAAUAAAUCCUCUUUUGCAAUGUAGAACUCAUUGUUCAGUCUGAGUUUUGAUGCAUGUAGGAAGGGAUAUG
Small nucleolar RNA from Nannospalax galili (Upper Galilee mountains blind mole rat), 126 nucleotides. The record is from Ensembl. NCBI's taxonomy places the organism in Eukaryota, Metazoa, Chordata, Mammalia, Rodentia, Spalacidae.